Pelobates cultripes (western spadefoot toad) is the source of this 210-nucleotide non-coding RNA. The record is from the annotation of a GenBank genome assembly. NCBI's taxonomy places the organism in Eukaryota, Metazoa, Chordata, Amphibia, Anura, Pelobatidae.
GUAUGUUGUGUCAGUUAGUUAGCUACACGUAGCUAGGAUACUGUCAUCAGUGUACUGAGCAUGUGCAGGAAUGCAGGAACUGAAAUUGCACUUAUUUCCUUUGUCUUGGAUGAGCCAUGUGGUUUGACUAGAUGUACAAGUCUAUAUUCUGCUCAUUGAUUGGUCUGAGGAAUAUAGGAAGGGUUAUACUGUAUGGGAGGAUAUAUGCAG